Molecule: long non-coding RNA, 523 nt
Filed under: Canis lupus familiaris (dog)
Lineage: Eukaryota; Metazoa; Chordata; Mammalia; Carnivora; Canidae
Description: lncRNA (ENSCAFG00000054826.1)
Source: RNAcentral
UCCCGCCCCGGGUCACCUUGAUCGGCCAAUUCAAAUUUCCUCCAAAUACCACGCGGGAGGCGGCAGCAACCGAAACUCUAAACUGCCUCCGGUCCCUACCAGCAGGCGGGGGUUUCUUCCCUCCUUGGCUCGGCCGAGAAACUCAUAUUUUAUUCAUGAAAAUCUGAGGCCCUGGGAGGCCUCGGCCUAAACAGGAUGUAAAUAUUUGCGGGCGGUGGGGGAGAGGUGGUUUUUGAGCUGGGGCUGUCCUAAGCAGGGGACCUCCGGACGCCGCUUACUCGGGCCCGCCCACCUCCAUCCCCUCUAUAGGGGUUCCUCCAUCCGCCUUGCUGAGACUUAGCACUGGCUUCCUGGCGCUUGCGAGGCGCGUGGCCAGCUCCCCAGCCUCACCUGCCCUUCCUGCACCUGGACACCCUUUGUCUCGGCUGCGCGGAGUUCCCGCCAUCCCCAGGCUGUACAGAAUCUUGCAGGGUAUCGAGGAUUUCCGAAGUUAUACCCUGCACCCCACAACCUCUGGCAAGAU